Molecule: long non-coding RNA, 398 nt
Organism: Brassica napus (rape)
Lineage: Eukaryota; Viridiplantae; Streptophyta; Magnoliopsida; Brassicales; Brassicaceae
Exons: 2
Source: RefSeq, a predicted model, not a curated record
AAAGACAAAAAAAAAAAACAGAACACUGAAAUUUACAUUAUACCAAUAAAAUGGCAUUAUCAAAGCUUCAAUUUGUAGUCAUCUUCGUCUUAUGUUCUCAACUUGUUACUUGCCAGUCAAAAGAUGUAAGAGAGAAUGCUGAUCAUCCUUCACAGUGUGUCUACAGAGGUUCGUGUGAGAGCAACAGAGACUGUGAGAGUCAGUGUGGACCGUCUGAGUUUCCACCGGAGACCAUUGCCUCAUGCCAAGCUAGUCCUAGGGGUCAUGGCAACAUUUGUUGUUGUGCUAAAGAUUAAUAUUCUCUUUCCAGCUAAAAGAAUAGUUUUUAUCUACUUUGAAAUAACUAAAUGUAAUAGUUGUUCUAGAGUUUUUUAUCAAAAAAAGAAAGAAGUUUACUA